GACAGAGGGUGCAAACGUUGUUCGGAAUUACUGGGCGUAAAGCGCGUGUAGGCGGCCCUGCAAGUCGGGUGUGAAAUCCCACGGCUCAACCGUGGAAGUGCAUUCGAAACUGCAGGGCUAGAGUCCUGGAGAGGAAGGUGGAAUGCUUGGUGUAGAGGUGAAAUUCGUAGAUAUCAAGCGGAACACCGGUGGCGAAGGCGGCCUUCUGGACAGUGACUGACGCUGAGGAGCGAAAGCGUGGGGAGCGAACAGG
This 253-nucleotide ribosomal RNA is filed under the name uncultured bacterium. RNAcentral describes it as "partial 16S ribosomal RNA". It matches the Rfam family "Bacterial small subunit ribosomal RNA", at positions 524 to 776 of the family's 1533-position model. The record is from RNAcentral.